AGAACGAACGCUGGCGGCAGGCUUAACACAUGCAAGUCGAACGCGUGUAGCAAUACACGAGUGGCGCACGGGUGAGUAACGCGUGGAUAUCUGCCUUUUGGUUCGGAAUAACCCCGGGAAACUGGGGCUAAUACCGGAUGGUUCCUACGGGAUAAAGAUUUAUCGCCAAAAGAUGAGUCCGCGUCCGAUUAGCUAGUUGGUGGGGUAAUGGCCUACCAAGGCGACGAUCGGUAGCUGGUCUGAGAGGACGAUCAGCCACACUGGGACUGAGACACGGCCCAGACUCCUACGGGAGGCAGCAGUGGGGAAUAUUGGACAAUGGGGGCAACCCUGAUCCAGCCAUGCCGCGUGAGUGAUGAAGGCCUUCGGGUUGUAAAGCUCUUUUGGCGGGGACGAUGAUGACGGUACCGCAGAAUAAGCCCGGCUAACUUCGUGCCAGCAGCCGC
RNAcentral lists this ribosomal RNA (446 nucleotides) under uncultured bacterium. RNAcentral describes it as "SSU rRNA". It matches the Rfam family "Bacterial small subunit ribosomal RNA", at positions 26 to 518 of the family's 1533-position model. The record is from RNAcentral.